AUUUUGUUUCUUUGGACCAUGGAAGGA
This 27-nucleotide non-coding RNA is filed under the name Cricetulus griseus (Chinese hamster). Lineage: Eukaryota; Metazoa; Chordata; Mammalia; Rodentia; Cricetidae. The record is from RNAcentral.